This 466-nucleotide ribosomal RNA is filed under the name uncultured bacterium. RNAcentral describes it as "partial 16S ribosomal RNA". It matches the Rfam family "Bacterial small subunit ribosomal RNA", at positions 28 to 507 of the family's 1533-position model. The record is from RNAcentral.
GACGAACGCUGGCGGCGUGCUUAACACAUGCAAGUCGAACGGUAAGGCUCCAGCUUGCUGGGGUACACGAGUGGCGAACGGGUGAGUAACACGUGGGUGACCUGCCCUGCACUUCGGGAUAAGCCUGGGAAACUGGGUCUAAUACCGGAUAGGACCAUGGUGUGGAUACUGUGGUGGAAAGUUUUUUCGGUGUGGGAUGGGCCCGCGGCCUAUCAGCUUGUUGGUGGGGUAAUGGCCUACCAAGGCGGCGACGGGUAGCCGGCCUGAGAGGGUGGACGGCCACAUUGGGACUGAGACACGGCCCAGACUCCUACGGGAGGCAGCAGUGGGGAAUAUUGCACAAUGGGCGGAAGCCUGAUGCAGCGACGCCGCGUGGGGGAUGACGGCCUUCGGGUUGUAAACUCCUUUCACCAUCGACGAAGGGCUUCUGACGGUAGAUGGAGAAGAAGCACCGGCUAACUACGUG